This 494-nucleotide ribosomal RNA is filed under the name uncultured bacterium. RNAcentral's name for it is "partial 16S ribosomal RNA". It matches the Rfam family "Bacterial small subunit ribosomal RNA", at positions 28 to 507 of the family's 1533-position model. The record is from RNAcentral.
GACGAACGCUGGCGGCGUGCUUAACACAUGCAAGUCGAACGGUGAAGCGCCUUCCUUUUUGGUGGGUGUGGAUGAGUGGCGAACGGGUGAGUAACACGUGAGUAACCUGCCCCCUUCUUCUGGAUAACCGCAUGAAAGUGUGGCUAAUACGGGAUAUUCUGGGUCUGUCGCAUGAUGGGUCUGGGAAAGAUAUUGUUUCGGUGGGGGAUGGGUUCGCGGCUUUUCAGCUUGUUGGUGGGGUGAUGGCCUACCAAGGCGGUGACGGGUAGCCGGCCUGAGAGGGUGGACGGUCACACUGGGACUGAGACACGGCCCAGACUCCUACGGGAGGCAGCAGUGGGGAAUAUUGCACAAUGGGCGCAAGCCUGAUGCAGCGACGCCGCGUGAGGGAUGGAGGCCUUCGGGUUGUGAACCUCUUUCGCCAGUGAAGCAGGCCUGCCUCGUUUGUGGGUGGGUUGACGGUAGCUGGAUAAGAAGCGCCGGCUAACUACGUG